AACCUCUUUUAUUAAGGAAGAAGAAAGUGACGGUACUUAAAGAAUCAGCAUCGGCUAACUCCGUGCCAGCAGCCGCGGUAAUACGGAGGAUGCAAGCGUUAUCCGGAAUUAUUGGGCGUAAAGCGUCCGCAGGUGGCUCCUCAAGUCUGCUGUUAAAGACAGAAGCUUAACUUCUGAGCGGCGGUGGAAACUGGGGAGCUAGAGUACGGUAGGGGUUGAGGGAAUUCCCAGUGUAGCGGUGAAAUGCGUAGAGAUUGGGAAGAACACCAGUGGCGAAGGCGCUCAACUGGACCGUAACUGACACUCAGG
Molecule: ribosomal RNA, 309 nt
Filed under: uncultured cyanobacterium
Lineage: Bacteria; Bacillati; Cyanobacteriota
Description: bacterial SSU rRNA
Rfam family: Bacterial small subunit ribosomal RNA
Source: RNAcentral